AAGUCGUAACAAGGUUUCCGUAGGUGAACCUGCGGAAGGAUCAUUAAUAAAUAAUCCUUAUGGGUUUUAUAUCCAUAUCCACCUCUGUGAACUUGUAAACUGCUUGCUCCCUUUUGGCGCACCAUCAAAACGGUAAGGGAUUUGAGUUGGAGGUUGUUCUCGCUUAACGGCGUUAAGGACUGAAAAUUCGAUUUCUUAACGGGUGCGUCGGAGGGGUAGCCCUUAUUAUAUACCUUUUGUCUUUAAACACUUGACUGAAAUCCUCUUCUUUGUUUAGCCUUAGCGGGCUUGAGCAGGAAGUAAAAAAAAAACAAAUUAUAAAACAACUUUCAACAACGGAUCUCUAGGCUCCCA
This 354-nucleotide unclassified non-coding RNA is filed under the name fungal sp. RNAcentral's name for it is "partial internal transcribed spacer region". The stretch from base 1 to 46 matches the Rfam family "Eukaryotic small subunit ribosomal RNA", at positions 1786 to 1831 of the family's 1831-position model. Lineage: Eukaryota; Fungi. The record is from RNAcentral.